Long non-coding RNA from Cebus imitator (Panamanian white-faced capuchin), 118 nucleotides. RefSeq lists it as uncharacterized. The record is from RefSeq and is a predicted model, not a curated record. NCBI's taxonomy places the organism in Eukaryota, Metazoa, Chordata, Mammalia, Primates, Cebidae. The transcript is spliced from 3 exons.
CAUAGGUACAUACAUAGCAAGGUGGUUUGCCGCCUUCGUCCCCCCAUCACCUAUAUCUGGUGCUUCUCCUUCAUUAUCCCUCCCCAUACUCCCCACCCCUGAUGCUGUACUUUUAAAA